RNAcentral lists this ribosomal RNA (459 nucleotides) under uncultured bacterium. RNAcentral describes it as "partial 16S ribosomal RNA". It matches the Rfam family "Bacterial small subunit ribosomal RNA", at positions 338 to 795 of the family's 1533-position model. The record is from RNAcentral.
CCUACGGGAGGCAGCAGUGAGGAAUAUUGGUCAAUGGUCGGGAGACUGAACCAGCCAAGCCGCGUGAGGGAUGAAGGUACAGAGUAUCGUAAACCUCUUUUGUCAGGGAACAAAGGCGGGGACGUGUCCCCGGAGGAGUGUACCUGAAGAAAAAGCAUCGGCUAACUCCGUGCCAGCAGCCGCGGUAAUACGGAGGAUGCGAGCGUUAUCAGGAUUUAUUGGGGUUAAAGGGUGCGCAGGCGGUCUGUUAAGUCAGCGGUCAAAGCCCGGGGCUCAACCCCGGCCCGCCGUUGAAACUGGCAGUCUCGAGUUGGAGAGAAGUAUGCGGAAUGCGCGGUGUAGCGGUGAAAUGCAUAGAUAUCGCGCAGAACUCCGAUUGCGAAGGCAGCAUGCCGGCUCCACACUGACGCUGAGGCACGAAAGCGUGGGGAUCGAACAGGAUUAGAUACCCGGGUAGUC